CUUGGUCAUUUAGAGGAAGUAAAAGUCGUAACAAGGUUUCCGUAGGUGAACCUGCGGAAGGAUCAUUAUUGAAAAACUUCUCAAGUUUUUAAUAUCCUAUUGUCUACCUACCAUGUUGCUUCCACUGGACGUGUUUUACCUUGUGUAAGACCUUUGGCUUGUGUGAAUAACCCAAGUCAGGGAGUUGCCAGUGGCAAGACCAUCUACCAAAACUUGCUUAAAAUACUACUGUCUGAAUCUUUUGCUUCAAUGAAAUAAAACUUUCAACAACGGAUCUCUAGGCUCUUGCAUCGAUGAAGAACGCAGUGAAAUGCGAUAAGUAAUGUGAAUUGCAGAAUCUCGUGAAUCAUCGAAUCUUUGAACGCACAUUGCGCCCUAUGGUAUUCCGUAGGGCAUGCCUGUCUGAGCGUCAGCUCCCCCCCCACUCAAGUAUCUUUACUUUUUUGAUUCUUGGACUGAUUUGGAGAGGUGUCUUGUCAUGUAGACGCCCUCCAGAAAUUCAUAGGCAGUAUGGUUUGCACCUGAACCAGACGUAAUAAUAAUAAAAUCGUUUGUUUGGGUAUGAUUGUGCUUGCCUUAACCCACCCAUUUCUUUGUUUGGGUGACCUCAGAUCAGGUAGGGAUACCCGCUGAACUUAAGCAUAUCAAUAAGCGGAGGA
This 659-nucleotide ribosomal RNA is filed under the name uncultured fungus. RNAcentral's name for it is "eukaryotic LSU rRNA". The stretch from base 259 to 412 matches the Rfam family "5.8S ribosomal RNA". Lineage: Eukaryota; Fungi. The record is from RNAcentral.